RNAcentral lists this ribosomal RNA (760 nucleotides) under Escherichia coli. RNAcentral describes it as "partial 16S ribosomal RNA". The stretch from base 169 to 760 matches the Rfam family "Bacterial small subunit ribosomal RNA", at positions 1 to 602 of the family's 1533-position model. The record is from RNAcentral. Lineage: Bacteria; Pseudomonadati; Pseudomonadota; Gammaproteobacteria; Enterobacterales; Enterobacteriaceae.
CGGUUGAAGAGAAAAAUCCUGAAAUUCAGGGUUGACUCUGAAAGAGGAAAGCGUAAUAUACGCCACCUCGCGACAGUGCGCUAAAGCGUGUCGCAACUGCUCUUUAACAAUUUAUCAGACAAUCUGUGUGGGCACUCGAAGAUACGGAUUCUUAACGUCGCAAGACGAAAAAUGAAUACCAAGUCUCAAGAGUGAACACGUAAUUCAUUACGAAGUUUAAUUCUUUGNNNNNNNNNNCUUCGCUGACGAGUGGCGGACGGGUGAGUAAUGUCUGGGAAACUGCCUGAUGGAGGGGGAUAACUACUGGAAACGGUAGCUAAUACCGCAUAACGUCGCAAGACCAAAGAGGGGGACCUUCGGGCCUCUUGCCAUCGGAUGUGCCCAGAUGGGAUUAGCUAGUAGGUGGGGUAACGGCUCACCUAGGCGACGAUCCCUAGCUGGUCUGAGAGGAUGACCAGCCACACUGGAACUGAGACACGGUCCAGACUCCUACGGGAGGCAGCAGUGGGGAAUAUUGCACAAUGGGCGCAAGCCUGAUGCAGCCAUGCCGCGUGUAUGAAGAAGGCCUUCGGGUUGUAAAGUACUUUCAGCGGGGAGGAAGGGAGUAAAGUUAAUACCUUUACUCAUUGACGUUACCCGCAGAAGAAGCACCGGCUAACUCCGUGCCAGCAGCCGCGGUAAUACGGAGGGUGCAAGCGUUAAUCGGAAUUACUGGGCGUAAAGCGCACGCAGGCGGUUUGUUAAGUCAGAUGUGAAAUCC